Molecule: long non-coding RNA, 2824 nt
Organism: Corvus hawaiiensis (hawaiian crow)
Lineage: Eukaryota; Metazoa; Chordata; Aves; Passeriformes; Corvidae
Exons: 2
Source: RefSeq, a predicted model, not a curated record
CCCGCGCGGCGGGCAUUGUCCUUCGCAAAAUGGCCGCCGGGUCGCCCUCAGAGCCCCGCACCGCGCCUCACUCCACACCCUUCCCGAACGCACCUUCCCCUGGCCAUCCCCGGCAUCCUUGGCCCCCUCAAAUCUUAAAUCUCCUCAAAGCUCCUCAAAGCUGCCGGGCCGCCUGCCACAGCCCCCUCAGUGCCUCGUCAGUGCCUCACAUGGGGUUCUCCACACACACCUCCCCGCGACCACCCCCAGCCCGACUGAACGGGCUGCCCGGGGCGGUGGUGCAGUCCCUGUCCCUGGAGGUAUUUGGGGGAAGCGUGGACGUGGCACUCAGUGCUAUGCUCUGGCUGACAAGGUGGUGUUGGGGCACAGGUUGGACUCCCUGAGUUCAGAGGCCUUUUGCAACCUCAUUGGUCCUGUGGUUCUGUGAUGACCCUUGUCUGUGGGUCAUCAAAUCUCUCCCUCCUGCUUGUGUACCUCGCUGUGUUAUGGAGGACGCUGAUGGUGUGGCAGCCCCCUGAGACCGUGGGCUGUCCCUGUGAAGGGGGUUGUUCUGGGAGAGAUGCCGUGUCCGUGAGGGAACCGAGCUCCUGCAGCACCCCAACAAAUACACUACAUAAAUUACGCUACAUAAAUCAGAGGAUAUACCACCAAUGAUGUGAUUUCUUAAAGUUCAUUCCGAUGGAAGGGAGGAGGCAAUUCUCAGUAACUUCAGAGACCUCACAGGUUCACACAAAACAGUUCCUGUGUCUUUUUUCAUCAGCAUUACGCCUGCCACCAUAAUAUGCCAAAUGCUUCUCUAUAUCACGCAGAUGGAAAAGAAACACCACAAAAAUGAUCCCUGUCAAUCCCUCAGGGAUAGAUUUUCCAGGUGGACAUCAUUCCACAGCAGUGCUGCUCUGUGUGGGAACAUGCUGGGUUGUGACACCGAGGUGGCCGUGUGGUCACACACCCCCUGCUCCUGGCAGGACAAAACUUCCUGUACCAUUUCAGAGAUGUUCCUUGUCCAGAGUAAACUGCUCACGUAGUGAAAUGUCGACUGAAGAGAAACUUCACUUACUGGCAGAGCUGCAGAUUUGCUUUUCCCUGUCAGUUCUGGUCCCUCUCCUCUGCCUUUGUCAUGUUACUUCACAUUCCAGCUCCUCCCUUCUGAGCACAGAUUGCAUUUUUACUGCAAUUUUCUGGAAAUUGCAGAAGAGUAACACCCACUGGGCAGAGGAAGUUGAAACCAAACCUUUAUCUGAGUCCACGGUUGAGAAAAUGGCACAGCCACGGUCCUACCUGAGGCCCAGGCAGCCACCUGAGCUUCCACAAAACGUGGGCAAUUUACCAUCCGUUGCAGUCCAAAAUUUAGCCUGAAAUUUCAUAGAACCUUUUAGUUUUAGUAUUUUACUCCUCCUGAAGGGUCUUUAUGAGUCAGUUCCGAAAAAGUCCCAGGCACUGAAAUGUUCAGUUUGGCCCGAGAAGGCAACAGAUGUUGUUUCAAAUUGUGACUGCGACUCAAACAGAUCCUCCUUUGAGCUCUGCUUUCCACACCUACCUGUGUCAAUUUACUUGAUUUAUCAUCAAAAGAUCAAUCAGUUGAUCCUGCCUGUUUUCUCUGUGUUGAAUUACUCAUGGUAUUAUUUUUCUAUUUGUUUAAGGUAAUGGGAAGUGAGAAGCACCCGUGGCUGGAGAAGACCAUGUGCUUUUACCCAAAUCCCCCUUCAUGUGUGACGGUGCCUCAGGCUCCUGUGAUCUCCCUUCUCCUUUCAUUUGAGCUCUGAAAAACAAUGGGCAACGUGGUUUGGGCCUUCUCAAGUCCAUCACCACCAUUAAGAAGCAGAACUACUACCUGUACUCCAAAGCCUUUUUGAGCAAUGUGAAGUUCCACUGACACAGACACUCCCAGUUUUGCUUACUUACAUGGACUGGAGAGGCACAGAAGCCUCCUUGGGAGGUGAACAGGAAGGCUUCCCUUCUAGAUACAUGCAGAGCUCCAGCCAGUGUUCAAGAGGACUGAAAAAUGUCAAGAUUUCAUACUAAAACUCACCUUUCCCAAGAUGAUUUCCCCAGGAAUCAUCCAUUUAAGAACAACAGAUGCUGCGGAUAUGAAAAGCCACUGACACUUUUAGGGAGUGAGCAAAGUGGACUCUGUGUGCCAAGAGACAGCAGGAGAAGAUCAAAGAGUUCCAGCUUUCAGUGUCUCUUUACACAGAUGGAUCUGGGAGCAGCAGAGGACACUGUCCCACUCCUAGACCCACCUCCUACAUGGUGGCUCCCUACACAGUGUUACAUGGAUGUUCUGAAGAUGUUCUGCCACUCACAAGAAACUGCUGCAGUUAUAAAAGCAGCACCUUAGCCUUGAGGAACAGUGGCAGGAGGCCUCGUACUCCUGGGUUUUCAGACAUGCCGUUUUGAUUUGCUUCUAGAGCCUUUUAGUGAUGCGUGGAAUGGUAUUUUGGAUCUAGGAAUGCCCACUAACAUCCUCAGAAAGUCUGCGGCACAGAGCAGCACCGUUGUGUAAGACAAUAGGUGAUUUUGACUUUGUACAGCAGAGAUUCAAAUACAGGCACAUCCUCAAAUAACAAAACACAGACCCUUACCCACAAUAAACAAUGAGGGAUUUUAAACUGAUGAGUCUUCAGUUUCUCAAGCAGCUUUCUGAGCAUUUAAAUUGUUCUACCUGCAAAAAUUCAUUCCUUCUGACCUGAACAGACACCACUUCCUUUUCUCAGCAUGACUGGUGACAUGACAUGCUCCUCCCAGAGAUAACUGCUGGCUUUAUUUUUAUUGGAAAUGAUGGAUGCAGCAGCUGAUAAGUAAAAAAGGGCAAUUUAGCCAUGGA